This 253-nucleotide ribosomal RNA is filed under the name uncultured bacterium. Its description in RNAcentral is "partial 16S ribosomal RNA". It matches the Rfam family "Bacterial small subunit ribosomal RNA", at positions 524 to 776 of the family's 1533-position model. The record is from RNAcentral.
UACAUGGGGUGCAAACGUUGCUCGGAAUUAUUGGGCGUAAAGCGCACGUAGGCGGUUUGUUAAGUCGGAUGUGAAAUCCCUCGGCUCAACUGAGGAAGUGCAUCCGAAACUGGCAAGCUUGAGUACGAAAGAGGGUCGCGGAAUUCCCGGUGUAGAGGUGAAAUUCGUAGAUAUCGGGAGGAACACCGGUGGCGAAGGCGGCGACCUGGGUCGAUACUGACGCUGAGGAGCGAAAGCCAGGGGAGCAAACGGG